This 498-nucleotide ribosomal RNA is filed under the name uncultured bacterium. RNAcentral describes it as "partial 16S ribosomal RNA". It matches the Rfam family "Bacterial small subunit ribosomal RNA", at positions 28 to 507 of the family's 1533-position model. The record is from RNAcentral.
GACGAACGCUGGCGGCGUGCCUAAUACAUGCAAGUCGAGCGGACGAAUCGAAAGCUUGCUUUUGAUUCGUUAGCGGCGGACGGGUGAGUAACACGUGGGCAACCUGCCCUGUAGACGGGGAUAACACCGAGAAAUCGGUGCUAAUACCGGAUAACACGAAAUGUCGCAUGACGUUUCGUUGAAAGACGGCGCAAGCUGUCGCUACAGGAUGGGCCCGCGGCGCAUUAGCUAGUUGGUGAGGUAACGGCUCACCAAGGCGACGAUGCGUAGCCGACCUGAGAGGGUGAUCGGCCACGCUGGGACUGAGACACGGCCCAGACUCCUACGGGAGGCAGCAGUAGGGAAUCUUCCGCAAUGGACGAAAGUCUGACGGAGCAACGCCGCGUGAGCGAAGAAGGCCUUCGGGUCGUAAAGCUCUGUUGUUAGGGAAGAACAAGUAACGCAGUAACUGGCGUUACCGUGACGGUACCUAACGAGAAAGCCACGGCUAACUACGUG